UUUUUAAUGGUUGACCUCGGAUCAGGUAGGAAUACCCGCUGAACUUAAGCAUAU
This 54-nucleotide ribosomal RNA is filed under the name Pestalotia sp. Its description in RNAcentral is "partial 28S ribosomal RNA". Lineage: Eukaryota; Fungi; Ascomycota; Sordariomycetes; Amphisphaeriales; Amphisphaeriaceae. The record is from RNAcentral.